Pantherophis guttatus is the source of this 275-nucleotide long non-coding RNA. RefSeq lists it as uncharacterized. The record is from RefSeq and is a predicted model, not a curated record. NCBI's taxonomy places the organism in Eukaryota, Metazoa, Chordata, Lepidosauria, Squamata, Colubridae.
GCUAGAAAAAUGCAACCUGAAUGACUUCUGUGGCCAUCUUUGCAAGCAUGUACAGACUCCUCAUCUGAUGUUCUUUGACUGCACAGCGGAUGAGAUCAGCAGAUGAAGCUUUGGAAAAAGGAAAACAAUACCUUUCAGCAAAAGCCCUCUGUUUAGGUUAUCCAUUUCUUUUUGUAUGAAUGACUAAGCAGGGAAGCAUCAUGCUAAUCAGCAGUUCAGCAGCAAGGAAAGUUCAAUCCGGCCAGCCAUCCAGAUAUAAACUUUGCUCUAUUCCA